Molecule: long non-coding RNA, 3673 nt
Organism: Gasterosteus aculeatus aculeatus (three-spined stickleback)
Lineage: Eukaryota; Metazoa; Chordata; Actinopteri; Perciformes; Gasterosteidae
Source: Ensembl
AAAACAGCACGAUGGAGCAAAAGGACAAGGGAUGGAAAGAAGGAGAUAAAGACAGAGGGAGAAGGGAAGCCUGAUUGGGGGCAGCCGCGGGCCAGCUUCCUGUCCCUCUUGCUGCCUUCUUCCCUCCGUCGUCCACUCUCUCCCCUCGUAGGGGAUGAAGAGAUUAAGAGGAAAUUACACCGAGUCCUUCUCUUCGACAAGGCAGGAGAAGUGGGGAGUCGGAACUUCAAACAACUUUUGAAAAGACGGGAUCAGAGGUCCUGGAAAAAAAGGGGCUGGACGAGGAAAAGACCGGCAGUCACGGAGGAAGAAAAAGACAAAAAAAACCCAAAAGAAGUCAUUUGGGAUUCGAGGUCACGGUAGAUGAAGGGAAGGGGACAGAGAAAGAAGUGAAUUAGAGAAGAAACUGAAUCUCUAUGUUGACCCCGGAAAGGAGGUUAUUGUGGUGACGGAAAAGUAUUUCCACGUAACUAAAGGCCACGAGACUGACACCGAGCUACGAGGGAGGGCUGCGUUUCUGCAGCAAACGAGCUCCUUCACGUAAUGAGCGAGAAGAGAAGGUGCCAAAAAAGAGGGUCGAGUGAGUUGUUACUGAGGUCUUGAUGGUGGUCUUGGAACCUGAGGUCUGUCCCAGUUCGUUUCAUUGAGGAGGAAUACGGAGGGCUGGAGUCUUUCAUAAUCGCUUCUCUUUUCUGUGAGAAAAUAGAUAUAUAAACAGGCCCAUUUUGCAUUGGAUACACGGUUAACAUGUAAGCACCAAUGACUCUGUAAUGCGGAUGCCUGCAGAGAGAGCGUGUGGAUGACCUCUGUGUUUCUAUUCAUUUCCCAGAGGCAUGUAUUUUGCUUUCUGGAGAGGCUUCUGAAGUAGCUCUUAGCCCAAAGGUGAGGUGGCGCUGGGACCAAUAAUAAAGAUGUAUUUCUUUUUUUCUCGUAGCAGUCAAACUCAAGGUAAAACCUGGAAUAGUAUUUAAUAGGCGAAGUCUGCUGCAUACCAACUCGGAAGGAUUCACAUCAAGCUCACAACUUGUAUUGCAUUUAAUAGCCUGUAUUUAUUUUCAAUAUUUAUCGUCUCUGUCUGCUGCAUAAUAAUUGAGAAAACCUAAAUGUUAUAAAAAUUAUUGUACCGUUUUUGCUGAUUCACAUUCUAAGCCAUCGGGUUCAACCGUACUGCAGUUUAGGAUGUUGCAGCUCACAGGGUUUAUUAAUGCAGCUCAGUUGAAUGUGCUUUAUUGUCACAGAGGUUACAUCUGAUCUUCUAAUUAGUUUUUAAUUAAUUAGUGUUUAAAAAAAUGUUGUAGUUUCAUUAUUUAUGUACAUGAAUGACAGUUGUUUUUUUGGAAAUUAUCUUUGCUUAUAGUUUGGCAGUCAGAGCGUCUUUGUGCCCCAAGUGCAUCAAAAAUGUAUAUGAAAAGAAUUAGAAUCAAGUCAUGUGAUUUCAAUGUUGUUUUUAGACCACAAAGUGGUGCAGUGACCAAAGGGUGGUGAGCUAAUCUACGUUAAAUCUCUCUACAUGUCUGAUGGUGAAACAGUGGGACUCUUUACCAGCUCAGUUGCAAAAUCCAUCAACUGACAAGAUGAACUCAAACCAAUGGAGCUACUUGGGCCGAGGACUCCUUUCCUGUUACCCUGCAGUCCACAAAUUGACUUUGUUCUACAGGACACAAUGCAAGCACUCGCACACAAAGGCACACAACUACAGGUAUAUGCACAAUAGAAAGAGCCGAUGGAACGUGGUGAUAAAACAGCGUGAGGUUGAAGGGGAAGUUGAACAAUAGCUGCAGCUGCAGACCCGGUUCUCGUCGAGGUGGGAUUUAUGGCAAGGUGCCACAGACCCACACACACACACACAAUCCUGUGUAACAAUCAGGCCAUCGCUGUGACAAAGACCAUGUGUUAACUAUGCUCACAGAAAUCAUCUCUCACACACACACACACACACACAAACAAGCCCAGCAGGCUCUUACACAGAAAUCUAAACGCACUUUGUCACUGGUCUCUCAUCCCAGCAGGUAACACUAUGUCUUUUCCUUCUGUCUCGGUGCUCCUGUACGUCUCUACAUUGCUGUCUUUGCCUCUCUUUCGAUUUCUCAGCAGUCUCUGCUGAAUCCUCUUUCACACCUCCAGCCUCCCCACCACUCCCCCUCUGUCUCCCCCUCCUUUUUGCUUCCUCUCAUUCCCCCUAAGCAGUCUUUCCUAGAGCCCCUUUCAUGCUUUCCCCUCUCUCUCCCACUACACAUUUGCCCUCACUCACAGUCCGGCCUGAAGCGUCUCUCCCUCCCUCCCGCUCUCUCUCUCCCCCGCUAUCCCCCUCAUAUAUUCUUUUCUCUGCACCUGGCCAUGACUCUUCCCCCAUUGCUGUGGUUUCACCUCUCCACCUAUCUGACAGUUUCCACAUUAAUCAUUCUUACAUCCCCGAGAAGAGCUGUCUUCCCUUGCCUCUCUCUCUAUCUCUCUUUAUAAUUCUUAUUUUUUCUCUCUGCCUCUCACUUCCUUGUCACAUUGCAUAUCUUAUUCUCACAACUUGUUUCUCACCUCUCAUUAUAUCUCUAUUUAUGGACGUGCAAGCAAAAUGACAUCACCUUUCUCCCGGUUGUAACAAGUUAUCAUUUGUUGGCAAUAGCUGCAACAGGAUAUCUGAUUAUAUUUGAUUCUUAUUCAGUGGUCGGGGGGGUUUAAGGAUUUUAAUGUUAGACGUUAGCGAUAUAUCAAGAUAGCAGGACACUAAUUCGAGUGAGUGACUUUAUCGCACAAGAAGGCUGACUUUCUGUCAGCUUAUCCACACAAAAAAAAUACAAAUGUGCUAAUAGAUCAAAUCCUGAUAAUUCAGAGAGUAAUUUCCAUUAAGUGAUCUUUUAAUACCAAGUGUGGCUCCUCCUAUAGAAAUGAAAGGAAUGCGGUAAGAUUGAUGUUGGUCUGUCUUAGCGAGGAAAACAUCUAAUUUCAUUUGAAAGUGUAUUUCAGGUCAAUGUGAAGGCAACGAGGAAGCAAAAGGAAACCAAAUGACUUUGAUGAUUUCAUAGAAGAAAAUCCAUGAAAUCAAAGGCUGGCUUGCUACACGUUUGUGGCACUAUCGAGACGCCCCCGUCGUCAUGGCUAUCGUCACCUGCCGGUGUCUGUGUCCCACGAUGCAUUGCAACCCGCGCGGUCGCAUGGCUGGUGGUGGAACUGCAGUGACAUCUACUGAGGGAGGAAAGGAGAGGAGAGGCAGAAGGAAGAUUAAUGGGGGAAAGAGUGGGGGGGGGGAAGGUGACUCACAACGGUAUCUGAAAUGCAAUAAAGGAUUGUAGGGAAGAGCGAGAAUGCAAGAACCAAAUUCAACCUUGGAAAUGUAUUAUUACAUAUUCAGUUCAGGCCUUUUAAUAUCAGCACAAAUUAACUUUUUUUUUUUAAACAAAAGGCACCAUUUCAGCCGUCGCACUGGAAGUUUCACUGCUUUUCCCGGUUUUUCUAGAUGUUUCUUUUCGUCUCUGUAACCAGUAUUCAGUGCGGAUAAUUGCUUCUCUUUAGCAACAACAGCUCCGAACUGAUUUUUAUUCCAGUCAGCCGGCUUUGAUUCGGGCUGUGUCUGUAUUGUAAUUAUUGUCUUAGCCACCGGCUGUCAAACCCUAUUACGUGAGGUCAAACCCAAAUGACUAUCCCGAGCUGAUGACAAUAAUCUGACUACAGACACAUG